GAUGAACGCUGGCGGCGUGCCUAAUACAUGCAAGUCGAGCGAACAGACGAGGAGCUUGCUCCUCUGACGUUAGCGGCGGACGGGUGAGUAACACGUGGAUAACCUACCUAUAAGACUGGGAUAACUUCGGGAGACCGGAGCUAAUACCGGAUAAUAUAUUGAACCGCAUGGUUCAAUAGUGAAAGACGGUUUUGCUGUCACUUAUAGAUGGAUCCGCGCCGCAUUAGCUAGUUGGUAAGGUAACGGCUUACCAAGGCGACGAUGCGUAGCCGACCUGAGAGGGUGAUCGGCCACACUGGAACUGAGACACGGUCCAGACUCCUACGGGAGGCAGCAGUAGGGAAUCUUCCGCAAUGGGCGAAAGCCUGACGGAGCAACGCCGCGUGAGUGAUGAAGGUCUUCGGAUCGUAAAACUCUGUUAUUAGGGAAGAACAAAUGUGUAAGUAACUAUGCACGUCUUGACGGUACCUAAUCAGAAAGCCACGGCUAACUACGUG
Molecule: ribosomal RNA, 497 nt
Filed under: uncultured bacterium
Lineage: Bacteria
Description: partial 16S ribosomal RNA
Rfam family: Bacterial small subunit ribosomal RNA
Source: RNAcentral